This is a long non-coding RNA of Fukomys damarensis (Damara mole-rat), 1239 nucleotides long. RefSeq lists it as uncharacterized. Lineage: Eukaryota; Metazoa; Chordata; Mammalia; Rodentia; Bathyergidae. The record is from RefSeq and is a predicted model, not a curated record. The transcript has 3 exons.
UUGAGGGUUGUGUGGGAUGAGACAGUAGCUGCCCAGGGUAGGCCCAUGUCUCAGUGAAGCAUUCCUGAGGGCUUGAACUCAUUAAUUUUAAAAUGUAGGGUAAAAAUUCAGCCAAUCUUUUUAUUCCUGAAUGGCAUGAGAUGUGGCUCUGCCUUGGGACGUUUACAUAUCCUAUUCUCUCUUCCACUAGAGGCCAUGUGGCAAACACUUUAACCUCCUGAACGUUCUACUCAAAGAUAUGAACACCCUGUCCAAUAUUUCAACAUCCUACCUCUCAGUAUCAGUACCCCUUCUAUCCUCCUUUCCUGAGUUUUCUUAACUAUCAUUAUCCAACAAACAAUAUUGUUUUGUUUCCUUCCCUAGAACGUAAGAUCCACAAAGGCAGAAAUUAUUGCCUGCUUUUCUUUACUGCUUUAUUCCCACCCAUAUUAUCCAGAUACAUACACAUAUUGAGAAUACACAGGAUAUAUUGGUAAUACACAGGGUUGUAAAGUAGGUACUAGGGACCGUACAAAGAGUAUGAGGUGGCGUUCUUCACCAGGAGAAGCUACACAGUAGUUAAAUCAGACACCCAUGCCAAAUGAACAGUACAAUCUAAGUUUAAGACAAAUGUACUAACAGAAAUUGCUGAAAGGAGAAAGAAAUCAGUGUGGGCUGAAUGAGUAGGACUCGAGGACAUCUGUUUAAUUAAUAAGCUGUGCGGGUGGCUGUCACCAUACUAACAAAAGAGGAAAGGAGUUAAAAUGACGCUGAGGUUGGAACCCAUAACUGGGAGGUCAGUGGUGCAACUAGUAGGUGACAAAGGUACAUUGGACAAGGCACAGAAAGCUGGAAAUAGUGUCUCCGCUCAUUUUAGUGUCCAAGCCAAGACCUGAACCCACAAUCAGGACUAUCCUCCUCGCCCGCUCUGAUUCUGACAUACCCUGCAGUUUUCUCAGAAAACAUCUGGAUCCCCGCUGUACUUUGUUCACUUGGCUCACAGAUAGGGCUGAAGAUCAAACCCAGGGCCUUAGGCACGCCUAGGCAAUUACUCUGUCCCUGAGCUACACCCCCAGCCUCUGUGAUCAGGAUUCUUUGAUGCCAUCUCUAUACCACUUUCAAGACUGGUUGUGUGAGGUGUGGUUCUUGCACUUGGCCCUAUCUACACUGUAAACUUUGGUUCUAGGGGCACCUGGAACCUAGAAGAGGAAGUUUCAUGGUGUAAUUCUCUAAGUAAUUGUUUUAUUGUCUUUAUUUUAC